UACGUAGGGUGCAAGCGUUAAUCGGAAUUACUGGGCGUAAAGGGUGCGCAGGCGGUUCUGUAAGUCAGAUGUGAAAUCCCCGGGCUUAACCUGGGAACUGCGUUUGAAACUGCAGAGCUAGAGUGCAGCAGAGGGAGGUGGAAUUCCAUGUGUAGCAGUGAAAUGCGUAGAGAUAUGGAAGAACAUCGAUGGCGAAGGCAACCUCCUGGGCUAGCACUGACGCUCAUGCACGAAAGCGUGGGGAGCAAACAGGAUUAGAUACCCUGGUAGUCCACGCCCUAAACUAUGUCAACUAGUUGUCGGGUCUUAUUAGACUUGGUAACGUAGCUAACGCGUGAAGUUGACCGCCUGGGGAGUACGGUCGCAAGAUUAAAACUCAAAUGAAUUGACGG
Molecule: ribosomal RNA, 392 nt
Filed under: uncultured bacterium
Lineage: Bacteria
Description: bacterial SSU rRNA
Rfam family: Bacterial small subunit ribosomal RNA
Source: RNAcentral